GUGAUUGUUUUCAGUUAUUUCACAUUAUUGGCAAAGAAAAGAAAAUAUUAAUUGCAGUUAAUGUAAAAUAACUGAACCUACACAUAGGACCCUUGGAAAAAUGCUCAUUUUAGAAGAACAUUUCAAACAGCACUUAGAGGCUUUUGCAUCUGAACACAGGAUAUAUUUAAGAUGAAAUACAGAAUUGGUAUCAAUUAAACACAAUUGCAGGUAAUAUUAUUAAAUCAUAUAGACCAAAAUUCACAAUAUAAUAUGAAAUUGAAUGCAAAUACAGACAAUGUUUUUUAUUUUAUUUUAUUUUAUUUUUUACUUUAAAUUCCAGAGUUCGAUUAUGACUUUUUUUCAUCCAUACAUUUUGCCAUCCAUUUUUGUUCUUUAAUCUCCCGCUUCAGGGUUGGCACUAUUUCAAGAUUUUCAAUGAACCAGACAUCCAAGACACCAAACCCUGCUGAUUCAUUGUCCAUUUGCACCAGUGUAGACCAAAGAGAACAAAGACGGUCAAGAGCUCCUAGUUCCUCUCCUUCAAGCAAUGCUGUGCACAACCAUCGCAUAGCCAAAGAAAGGGUUUUUGAAACCUGACAUUUCCUCAGAGUCCCCUGCUGACUUAAUCAUGGCAAAUAUUGCAUGUCAUUUGUUUGCCACGCAUGGACCUGGCUGAUGGUAGUAGUAGUAAUUCACCACCGCUGUGCGCCGGUUCCUGGAGUGCACUCCAGUGAUGGUGUCGUGCACGUCAGCACAUAGACAUGACAACCAGGAUCAUCACCAAACUGAGGCUAAGCUUGGAAUGGAGUACUGGCUUACUAGCUCGCUGUACACUUGAUGUAUCAAGUAAAAGAAAAAAAAAAAAUUUUGAAUUAGUAUGUAUAAUGUAACUAAAUGUUUCAAACAUUGUUGAUCUCAUUAUUAUAAUUA
This 912-nucleotide long non-coding RNA is filed under the name Carassius auratus (goldfish). RNAcentral describes it as "lncRNA (ENSCARG00000032979.1)". Lineage: Eukaryota; Metazoa; Chordata; Actinopteri; Cypriniformes; Cyprinidae. The record is from RNAcentral.